Molecule: ribosomal RNA, 213 nt
Filed under: uncultured bacterium
Lineage: Bacteria
Description: partial 16S ribosomal RNA
Rfam family: Bacterial small subunit ribosomal RNA
Source: RNAcentral
CGAACCUGCCCUCAGCUCUGGGAUAACUCCAAGAAAUUGGGGCUAAUACCGGAUAUGACUGCUGACCGCAUGGUCUGGUGGUGGAAAGAUUUAUCGCUUAGAGAUGGCUGUGCGGCUGAUUAGGUAGUUGGCGGGGUAAAGGCCCACCAAGCCUGCGAUCAGUAACUGGUGUGAGAGCACGACCAGUCACACGGGCACUGAGACACGGGCCCG